Triticum dicoccoides is the source of this 429-nucleotide long non-coding RNA. RefSeq lists it as uncharacterized. Lineage: Eukaryota; Viridiplantae; Streptophyta; Magnoliopsida; Poales; Poaceae. The transcript has 3 exons. The record is from RefSeq and is a predicted model, not a curated record.
CCUGGGAGCCACCCUGGAGCAGGUGGAGAUGCGGGGCGGCGAUGAAGGCGUGUGAGAAGAUGGCCUGAGCGUCCUCGUCAAGGGCAGUUUUGGCUACCUCCUCCCACCUCGGCUUGUUUUUCUCUCCUCCACCGUUGCUACUUCCUCGCUGCUCUCCAAUGAGUGAUUGGGUUUGUCCGCUUGGUGGAGCAGGCAGGGAGCAAGUAGGCAAAUAUGGGAGAAGGAGAAUGACCCUGACGAGAUGGCUGCCAUAGGGUCGUGACCUUCUUUAGCAUGCACAUCGGCACCGUCCCCGCGUCCGCAGCAGGGGGACGACAAUGGCUGCAAGUGACGGCACAGGAGCCCAUCUUAGUCGAGCACCCUCCCAGGAUUUUACUACUGUUAUGGCAAAAGAAGGCUAAAGCUGGGAAAGACAACAAUGUCAGGAGC